CCUACGGGUGGCAGCAGUGAGGAAUAUUGGUCAAUGGGCGUAAGCCUGAACCAGCCAAGUCGCGUGAGGGAUGAAGGUUCUCUGGAUCGUAAACCUCUUUUAUAAGGGAAUAAAGUGUGGGACGUGUCCUAUUUUGUAUGUCCCUUAUGAAUAAGGAUCGGCUAACUCUGUGCCAGCAGCCGCGGUAAUACGGAGGAUCCGAGCGUUAUCCGGAUUUAUAGGGUUUAAAGGGUGCGUAGGCGGCCUUGUAAGUCAGCGGUGAAAGUCUGUGGCUCAACCAUAGAAUUGCCGUUGAAACUGGGGGGCUUGAGUAUGUUUGAGGCAGGCGGAAUGCGUGGUGUAGCGGUGAAAUGCUUAGAUAUCAGGAAGAACCCCGAUUGCGAAGGCAGCCUGCCAAGCCAUGACUGACGCUGAGGCACGAAAGCGUGGGGAUCAAACAGGAUUAGAUACCCGGGUAGUC
This 460-nucleotide ribosomal RNA is filed under the name uncultured bacterium. RNAcentral's name for it is "partial 16S ribosomal RNA". It matches the Rfam family "Bacterial small subunit ribosomal RNA", at positions 338 to 795 of the family's 1533-position model. The record is from RNAcentral.